CCUACGGGUGGCUGCAGUGGGGAAUAUUGCACAAUGGGCGCAAGCCUGAUGCAGCCAUGCCGCGUGUGUGAAGAAGGCCUUCGGGUUGUAAAGCACUUUCAGCGGGGAGGAAGGCGUUAAGGUUAAUAACCUUGUCGAUUGACGUUACCCGCAGAAGAAGCACCGGCUAACUCCGUGCCAGCAGCCGCGGUAAUACGGAGGGUGCAAGCGUUAAUCGGAAUUACUGGGCGUAAAGCGCACGCAGGCGGUCUGUCAAGUCGGAUGUGAAAUCCCCGGGCUCAACCUGGGAACUGCAUUCGAAACUGGCAGGCUAGAGUCUUGUAGAGGGGGGUAGAAUUCCAGGUGUAGCGGUGAAAUGCGUAGAGAUCUGGAGGAAUACCGGUGGCGAAGGCGGCCCCCUGGACAAAGACUGACGCUCAGGUGCGAAAGCGUGGGGAGCAAACCGGAUUAGAUACCCCGGUAGUC
Molecule: ribosomal RNA, 465 nt
Filed under: uncultured Klebsiella sp.
Lineage: Bacteria; Pseudomonadati; Pseudomonadota; Gammaproteobacteria; Enterobacterales; Enterobacteriaceae
Description: bacterial SSU rRNA
Rfam family: Bacterial small subunit ribosomal RNA
Source: RNAcentral